RNAcentral lists this ribosomal RNA (403 nucleotides) under uncultured bacterium. RNAcentral describes it as "bacterial SSU rRNA". It matches the Rfam family "Bacterial small subunit ribosomal RNA", at positions 356 to 774 of the family's 1533-position model. The record is from RNAcentral.
GGGGAAUAUUGCGCAAUGGGGGAAACCCUGACGCAGCAAUACCGCGUGAGUGAAGAAGGUUUUCGGAUCGUAAAGCUCUGUUAUUGGGGAAGAAAAAAAGACGGUACCCAAGAAGAAAGUCCCGGCUAACUACGUGCCAGCAGCCGCGGUAAUACGUAGGGCGCGAGCGUUGUCCGGAUUUAUUGGGCGUAAAGAGCUCGUAGGCGGUUUGUUGCGUCUGCUGUGAAAACGCGGGGCUUAACUUCGCGCGUGCAGUGGGUACGGGCAGGCUAGAGUGCGGUAGGGGAGAUUGGAAUUCCUGGUGUAGCGGUGGAAUGCGCAGAUAUCAGGAGGAACACCGAUGGCGAAGGCAGGUCUCUGGGCCGUUACUGACGCUGAGGAGCGAAAGCGUGGGGAGCGAACA